AACGUAUUGAUUUAUAUUGGAUAUAGGGUGGAAUCAUAAUCCGCAGGUCCGGGGUUCGAGUCCCUGAUUCGCCACCA
This 77-nucleotide transfer RNA is filed under the name Burkholderia vietnamiensis. Its description in RNAcentral is "tRNA-Met". Lineage: Bacteria; Pseudomonadati; Pseudomonadota; Betaproteobacteria; Burkholderiales; Burkholderiaceae. The record is from RNAcentral.